RNAcentral lists this long non-coding RNA (555 nucleotides) under Homo sapiens (human). RNAcentral describes it as "HSALNT0332715". The record is from RNAcentral. Lineage: Eukaryota; Metazoa; Chordata; Mammalia; Primates; Hominidae.
AUUCUGUUUCUAUCUUGGUCUUGCCCUGCACACUCAGUUUUGGUAUUUUAAAGGAUUUGCUAAUAAUGUUCCUUUAGAAUCGUUUUGUGGAUCUGUCUUUCCCUUCCUUCUUUCCUUUGUGAGGGUUGUCUGGCAUCUUUUUUUUACUCCCUGGCUGGUUAUUCACAAACCAGAGGAACAGUCCUCAUGUACAUCAAACUUACCUCUCAACUCUCCAGGUGCUAAACCUUCUCAUGGAGAAGAACAAACUUGACUGCUAGCCCAUUCUGCAGCAGAAUUCUGAGAGCUAGGGCAGGCUCUGUUACAGGUCAGGAGAAUUGGCCUGAUUAGAAACCAUUUGAGGUAGGGAAUGGGGGCUCACACCUGAAUCCCAGCACUUUGGGACACUGAGGCCAGGAGUUGGAGACCAGCCUGGUCAAUACAUGAGACCCUGUCUCUACAAAAAAAAAAAAAAAAAAAAAAAAAAAAAAAAUUUUUAAAACAUAAAAAAAAAAAAAAAAAAAAAAAGGCUAGGUGGACUUGAGAAUAUGGACUCAGUGGUCAGGGAUGCAAUUC